RNAcentral lists this long non-coding RNA (567 nucleotides) under Brassica rapa (field mustard). Its description in RNAcentral is "long non-coding RNA (BRAP_LNC003846)". The record is from RNAcentral. Lineage: Eukaryota; Viridiplantae; Streptophyta; Magnoliopsida; Brassicales; Brassicaceae.
UCCUUCUUUAGUGCUUCAACUUUUUCUUAACAGUUUAUUUGUUCUGAACUAUUUGAUUAAUUUCAACAAGCGAUCAAUCUUUUUUUCUUUCUUAUGAGUCCCUAUUAGCAAGCCCCAUUAUAUGAUGAUGAUGAUGAUGCUGUUUCUUCUUAUGCUAAUUGUCCCAAGUAUUUGAUGGAAAACUUCUGAAAAGGUCGGUUUAUUGUUCUAUUCAGUUUUUUACUUUCGAAGUUACAAUUUGUUACAGAUUAUACAAGAGACAUGGUUAUCAAUCUUAUCGUAUAUCUCUGGAAAAAAGUUCAUAUCGUUUGAUUAUGUAAUCUGCCAUUGACUUGAUGAAGCAGGAGAAGAAAACAAACUCUGGUCAAGCGUACAUAUUCUACCAAAAAAUGGCUGACCAAAAGCAUUGAGAAGUAUAGAAGAAGAAGUAUACGAGAAGAGAAGUUCUUUGGCAAUUUUUUAGUUGUUUAGUAGUUAUUUUGUUGUCAGUUCAUCUUCUUUUCCUUUCAUGUUUUCUUCUGAAAUUUCUCUGUAUACUUCUUUUUCUUCGUCAUAUUUGUAAAUAGA